RNAcentral lists this ribosomal RNA (101 nucleotides) under Gopherus agassizii (Agassiz's desert tortoise). The record is from RNAcentral. Lineage: Eukaryota; Metazoa; Chordata; Testudines; Testudinidae.
GCCUGCCACUACUCUGUCUCCUCCACAUCCAUGUUUCGCAGGGUUGGGCCUGGUUAGUACUUGAAUGGGGGACCCCCUGGGAAUACUGGGUGCUGUAGGCU